Non-coding RNA from Taeniopygia guttata (zebra finch), 7504 nucleotides. NCBI's taxonomy places the organism in Eukaryota, Metazoa, Chordata, Aves, Passeriformes, Estrildidae. The record is from RefSeq and is a predicted model, not a curated record.
GGCGGCGGCCCCGGCCCCGCGGCCCCGGCCCCGGCAGCGUCCCCGCGCCUCCCUGCCGCCUUGGUAGCGCCGGUCCGCACUCGGCCUGACCCGGGACGUCACGGCGCCUGCCUGUGUUCCCAAUGAUAACUUGGCAGGAGCAGGGGGAAGCGGCCGGGUUUUUCCUGGGCUCGUUACCGGGUACGUGCACGUUUCUUUCGCAUGCGGAUUUUUUUUUUUUUUUAAUUUUUCGGUUUUUUUAAGGCGCAGUAACGAAAAGCCAGGACAGGAAAUCCGGGGCGCGGCGGGGGCUGCCGCCCCGCGAUGGUGGCGGCCGCUCGCCGGCGGGCGCGGGGGAGCGGCGGCGCGGGGCGCAGGCAUGCGUUCAUCUCCGUGUCUUUCAUUUUACCUUCAGGGUGACAUUCAGUGCCGGGCGAGCCUCGCCGGUCACCGCCACGUCCCACCUGGAAAAAACACAAACAAAACCACGGAAAAAAAAAAAACAAAAAAACAACCCACCCAAACCAACAAGAACAACAGCACCAAAAAAAAAAGGCGACUGCCGAAAAGGGGGGAUGGGGAUAGGGAAGGUGCCGGCUGCCUAGGAUGCGGGCGGCGGACGGGACACCUCGCCCAGGGGACGCGGGGACACACGGCUGCCAGCAGGCCAUGUGCCGAGCGGCCGGCGGGGGCGGGGAAACGGGCACCGCACACACUGAAUCAGUAAAUUAAAAAAAAAAUAAAAAAAAUAAAGCGCCCGGAAUGCCAGAGGAGGCCGGGCGAGGAGCGAGGAUGCCGCACCGCUGCUGCCGUGCAGGCCCGGCGCCGCGCCCGCCCGUUCCCUGCAAGGCUCUGCAGGGGAAGGCGGGGGAGCCCCCGGCGCACAGCGCCCCGCGGCCCCGCCGGGAUGCCCGGGGGGGCUGCGGCCGGGCAGCCCGGGCCGCGCCGGGGCACCCGGCGGCGCAAUGGCCGCCGAGGAGAGCCAAGGGCUGGCGCAGAGCCUGGCGCGGCUCGGGGAUGGGAGCCGGAGCCUUCGCUGCGCACCGCUGGGGCAGCAGAGCAGUGCUCCCGAGAGCCGGAGGGUUUGCGUUAGAGCAGGGCGAGCCGCGGCCUGCGGCAGCCCCGGGGCCGCCCUGAGCGCCGGGCGGGCUGGCAGCGCCGUGCCCGGCCAUGGCAGCAGCCACACGCGGCCGCUGCCCCGGGUUCGUGUGCUUUGCAAAGCCGGGUCCUGCACAUCUCCAUCAACGCUCCCACUAAAUUCCGAGGGCAUUUUCACGUGGGAGACUUAACUCGCCUGCAAAAGUAUUCCCAGAACUAGGCCUCGCUUAAGCUAUCCAUGGCAGCUUAAGUGCCUUCUCAUCUAGAAUCCAGUUGUUACCCACACAUUGCAUCCCAAACUGCUGCAGCACCACACCACCUACUCUGUGACCGCAGAGCGUCCCAGCAGAGCCCUGAGACAAGUUUCCCUCUUCUGUGUUGCUUUUCUCACCGCCUAUUAUAAUAACAAGUUACAACAUCGCCAGUGCACAGGUUUUUCUUCCUCUGUGAAAUCCCCACAACAGAAAUGUAUUAUGAUCAGUUUCAAGAUAGCAAUGCCACGUGCACUCCACUAAAAAUAAACAAUUUAAGCAGUGUAUACUCUAAAUACCUUCUCAACUGCCCUAAAGAGGAAAAAAGGUUCUUUACUGGAAGAAAUACCGGCUUCUCAAGCGUAAAUAUUUUGAGUGGGUUGUUCCAAACAAAAGGUAAACAAACCCCAAAGCUUUGCUCUGCCCUCUGAGACACCCAUGAUCCAUUUGACUGCAUUCCAUUCAUAGCAAUAGCACCCAGUCUGACUCAGCAAUAUUAGUUCCUGAAUGAGGAACCUCACAGACUCACACAGAAGGGUUGGCAGAACAAGAGGGCCUUCAGGAGGCACCUUAAGAAUAGAGAACUAAUUUAUCAUUUCUUUACAAAGGUCUAAAUCAGGGAGAACCUACAUGAACCACAGGCAGCCUCUCUGCCUCUGCUCUGACUCAGGUGUAUUGCACCACUGGCAUACAGGAAAGUGAACUGAUACUGAGAACAUACAAGAUGUUUUGUGACUUUGUACCAAGCACAAAGUUUGUCAAAUGUCAUUCAGUGUCAUUCCAUGCCACAGACAUCCCUAGAAGAGAGGGGCACUACUCAUCCAGAGAGGAAGAUGUCCUAAAUCCCAAGACGAUUGGCACAACACACGCAAGAGGAAAUCUCAGCGCGCAGCCAAUGCCAGGCAAUGAAGGAUCCUCUGUGGGAGUUGGUGACCACAAGGUACAAGCUUUAUAGACAUUUGAUGAAUGAAGGGUUGCCACUAAAUGAAAGCCACUAUCACAAAGCUCUAGAGGAAAUCGUUGCAACAAGGUUUUAGGAGUUUGUGAAGGCACCGUGAAAUGAGCACACUUUAUGAGGCUACAGUGUGUGUGUAGAAGGUAUAUACAACCUGCUCUGUAUUCCUAAAAUGAUCACCAACAUAUCAUUGGGAACUUGGGCUUCUGAGAGUCAUUUCUCUCUCUGUGCCUCAGUUCCCUUAUAUGAAAGUCAGGAUUAUGUCUUUGGUGCCCUUUGGAUGAACAGAACAAGUUCACCUUCUAAAUGUCAAGUGUUAGAAUCCAUCACAGGUUUACCACAUCUUUUCUAUCUGACCAUUUAAAACUAUUAAUAUCAAAAUAAGCCACUCAAAAAUUAGUAAAGAUUACAGAAGUCCCAGACUGUGGAACAUGAAUCUCAGCAAUUUCAAUGGAUGUGAUGCCAGCCUCAGAGAGAAGAUUAGCUUCAAUGUGAUUGGAAAGAUCCCAGAACUCCAGUGACAAAUAAUUUCUUCUGUAUUUUCUGUUAGUUCAGGAAAGAUCUAUGCCAGUCCCAACACAGUCUCUCAGCUAUUGUUUCCCCCGACUUUGAGUAUUUCCCUAUGAAUGCUGUUUUCUACCUAACAAACUAUCAAAAAAAAACCUUCAGACCCUGGCAUUCUAUGGUCAAAUUUAUUGUGUUUUCCCUCUUAAACAAUUUUUGUUUUGAAAUAUUGAUGAAAAAAUAUUUGCCAGGUAAUCAGUAAAGGGUCUGAGGUAUAAUCCAGUCAUUAUAGUCACUCUCCCUUACAUGGGUUUACUACAAGUAAUCAUUUUUCACAUAAAUGCAAUUAUGCUUAAGGAAGGUUAAAUGCUACAUUUUCAGUAUUUUCUUUCUUCUACCAAGACAGAUAAUGCUGGAUGCAUAAAGUUCCUCUUUUAUGUGUCACUUCCUUUAAAGCAAAUUUGUCCCCUUGAGUAAAUUUUUCCUUGGCUGUAAUGUGAUACACACACACACAUCUUUAUUUGUCAUAGAUAUCUACAUUUAUCUAUCACACUUACUCCACUGCAAGAUGUGAUUACAGAUUUGAAAAAGAAAAACAAAAAGGACAAAUUUCUCUAUUCAGUGUUUAAGAGAAGUUGGUAUCACUGAAUUUAGAAAUGUAAAUUCCUUUUUUUUUUUUUUUCACCUGAAUACACCACCCACCCCAGUAGCACCUGAUAUCAAUAGCAGUUCAUGUAUGUGUGCAGCUCCAAAAUCUUUUGAUAUCCAGGUGCCACUGAAAACCAUCACUGGAUUACAGUAUUUUUUCUGACGUAUGUAAAAGAUUCAGUCAGCCUAAAAGUACUCAACAAUUUCUACAAAGACGUGUUAUGAAGAAGUCCAAGAGUCUUUUGAAAAAGGAGGAGUCACUACCCUGUAUUAUCCUACUAAAAUGCAUACUACUUCCAACAUUUUUCUAGUAGGCAAGAUGAAUAUGGAGGGAGGAGGGAAGAAAAUUAUUCUGAGAAAAUUCAAAUUAGAAAGAGAAAAAAAAAUCUUAUUUAUAGUUUAGAGAUCUGUGCUAUUUAAAUUCCUCACUUAAAGAACUAUUUAAAAUUAUAUAUUGUAAGCCUAUUGCAGAUAUCUUGCUCUUCUUGUGUGAAUACAAAAAUAUGAAAGAAUAAAGUAAAAAAUAUAUUAAAUAGUGAUUUAAUUUAUUCAGAAAGCAUUGAGUGACAAGCAUCUGCAUGGAAUUAUAUAGCUCAGUUCUACUUGAAAAUUCUCCUAACUGGAAGAAAAUGUGCAAGUUCCUCAUCCAUUUUAACAGCCGUCAUAAAUGGAUGUUAAACUUAGCAGCAACAGUUCAUUGGCAGCUUCCCAAGACUGGCAUCAAUGUAAGAAUUUUGUUUGAUAUGAAUGAAAAAAAAAUCAUUGUUAAUGCUGUAUUUGAAUGAAGGUUUGAAAUAGUUAAAUGCAAAACACCAAAGAUGCCACUCACGGGCAUGAUAACUAUUUUGGGAGAGAGGGAGGAGGGCAAACUUCCCACUGCAUGAUGAAAAAUAUGAAAAUAUUAAGUAGAAAUAUUUGAAGAAAUUAAGGCCUGGAACUACAGCUUUCAACAAAGACGAUGAUGCCAGUUCUGUGUAUUCCUGCACAAGAAAACCAAACUGAUGGCUGGGAUUUCUCAGCAUUUCCACAACCCAAACAGUAAGAGGAAGCUGUUCAAAGUCAAAAGAGUUUCAGUGUUAACUGCAAUGAAAACAGACCAGAGCCUUUAUCUUAAUCAGUUACUUAGAAUGAACUGACACUAUCAUCUUUUCUCCCUCUGUGCUUAGAGCCAGAGCCACUUACACGUUACUGAUGUAUUUUCCAAGUCCCACACAUGGGCAAUAACAUGCAAUUCUUGCAAGUACUUUGAGGGAAGGGAUUGUCUGUAUUUUGCCAGUGCUGUACUUCAGGGUCAUGAGUCACUAAGAAAAUAUGGAGAAAUAUUUGGUUUUGUGCUUUGAAUAAGAAGUCUUUUGUGACAGAAUAUAAAAGUGGGGAAGUAGUUUCUAAGUUUAUUAUUACUAGUCUGUUAAGAAUGAGAAACUUUGAAACAGUUGAAAUACUUAGAUGGAAACACGCCAUUAUCUACAGCAUUUUCUGCAAAUGUUCAGUCAACAUCCUAAUUGUACUGAUGUACAUACAUCCUGUAUGAUGAAAUGAGCUCCAGCUUUCUCCAUACGUGACAUAGCAGUAAGAAAAAAGAGAAAAUCUAAAUGCUAUUUAUUCAGCAACUGAAUCUUAGCCAAAAUGAACUACUAUUUACUAUGGUCAGUGGUCAUUUUACACAUAUAGUAAGCAUAUAAGGCAUUUGUAACAUUUGAAAGCCCGAGAUUUGCAUUAUCCUAUAGGCUAAUCUAAUUUUAUUAGGUAUAUACUGACAUUAAAGAUUGGCAUUUACAAGAAAAAAAAAAUAGUUCUGUUAAGGCUAGGAUAAGCAAAUAAUAGAAAAUAAAUACAAUAUUAAAGUUGCCAAUGCUCUAUUCUCAACAAAAUUCUUACAGUUAUCUGCUCUUCUUUCCUUUCUAGCAACAUGUAAUUCUCUGCAGGGAUGUCAAGGGGACCAUUCUCUCAAUUUUCUUAGCAAGCCAACAUCUGCUAAAUGCAGCACGACAUGCUGUUUACCUUUGUGGUAAACUUGAGGCUUUUCCAUUUAAGAACUGUAUAAAUGAAUCAGUAUUCAUUCACACCUAUGCCCAGAAGUAUCCAUUACAAAGCAGAGAGUGCUCAUUUUUAAUCUCCUCCUUAUUCUGAUUUUAUGCCAUAUUUCUCUGCACUGAUGCUGUUUGGAAUUACCCUAGAUAUAUUAACAAAUGCAAGGAAAGUAAAGCCAUAAACAGUGGUAAUUUUCCCCUCAUUUUCUGUAAGUAUUUCUUGACAGACAAAGGUGAUAAAAAAGCAGAGGUAAAAGGUCUUGCCUUACAUCUCCUUUAAACUCAGUAGUUUAACAAAUUGCUACAAAAGAGAAGUUUUGUCCUCUGCUCCAAAAACCAAGAUGACAAAAUCUCAAGCUAUAUAUUUAGAUUUGCCUUCUAAAAUCCUGUGCAAUAUUUAGUAACUUGUAUUCGAUGGCAUAAUUUCCAAGGGAAAUAGUAGGGGGUUGUCUGUUUUGUUUUGAUUUUUUUUAAAUGUAUAUACAUUUCUCAUCUGCUGAAAGGAAAUCUACCUGCAUCAGCAAAAAGCACAGGUGAAAAGACUAAUUAACAUGAAAAAAUGCAACCACCCUUUCUUUAGAGAAUGCUUUUGAACCAGAAAGUAAUUUUUCCCAUGCUGCAGAAGCCCUCUGUUUGAACGAGCACCCACUAACAUCACCUGUCCCUCUAAUUGUCAUCAUUACUGAGACCGAAGCAGCCUUUGUUGAUCACACACAGCAUUCUCUAAAAUCCAUUUUUCCAAUUAGGUUUUUAUUUUCUUUCUCAUCCGUCUGCUUUUAUUUAGUUUUGGGCACAAUUACAGUGGUACUUGGGUUAACUUGUGGCAGUAAGAUGUUUGCAGGAGCUGUUGCUCACAGUAAUGUUGGCUAUUACUGAUUACAGCAUAGCUCAAGGCAGAUUCCUUGUUCUAAAUGGCACUGAACAUUUUUACCUGAAUAUUGCAACACCACAUUAUGAGCACUGGGAUAUAAACAGAACAGUAAGCAAUGCUGCUGGCCUCUGGAUUUAAGCAAUAAGCCAGAAGACUUGUGUGUGAGACACAGAUAGAAAAUCGAGCUACCACCAAAGUAUCUGAUGAAAUAUCUCUAUCUUUCUCUAAUUUGCUAGUAGCCAAUUAUUACAUUCAACUCUGAAUCACGGUCCUAAAUAAUAAAGGUCAAAGUUUUCAUGGACAUUUUCUGUGUUUGAGUUGCCACCUUGAAAUAGCUGAAGCUGUGUUUUACAGUUGCAAGAUUCCCAAAUUUCGCAAAUUGUAUGUCCUCAACAUCACAAAAAACAAAGCCUCCCAUCACCUCAAAUCAAACCUCAUUUCAUUAGAAAAAUAGGUUUAACCUCUGCCAAAAGGAGGGGCUGAUCCCUAUAAGUAUAUUUGCAUUUAAAAAAUCCCAGUCUAGAACAUUUGCUUAGACAACCCAAAUCUUAUCUCACUUCAUUUCUCAACUUUGUUGAACACUAGAAAAAAAGUUUUACAAAUUCUGGAAAUAUAGCACAUCAUAAUAAACAUUUGUGGCACUUUUAUGUAGUACAAAACUACUGCAAAUAUAAUAUUUUCUUAAAUAAUUUUAUAGGAUCUCUACCUAUGUAAAAACAGGAAAUAUUUGUGGACAUUCUCAUGAUUACAAGAAUUAGAUUCAUGCAGCUUUUCAGCAAAUGCUGAAGUGCUACAAUCAUCCAUGAUAUCCUCGGAUAUAAAGGUGGGAGCACGGCAGCACAGUUAGGGAAGCCUGCUGGAGUUGAGGAUGCUGACCUGGCUCUGUCUGUAACCUGCUGUGACCUACUCCAGUGCACCAUAUCAAAACUUCCUUUCUCACAUCAGCUUUCCUAAUAACUAGCUCACCCAAAUAAAGUGUUUUCCUACUUUCAUGUAUCGGGAGGAGAGGUAAGAACCCUGUCAUAACAGAUAUUUGUGAAGUUAUUUGGAAUUUCUUCCAAGUGCCGAGCAAAAUAAGCUUGUAGUUCUCUAAUAUUUAAUAAUGAUUAGUAAAGAGGGGAUAAGACUGCUCCACAUUGUACCAAAUAAAGGAGUUUUCCUUUUCCAA